UACGGGGGGGGCAAGCGUUGUUCGGAAUUACUGGGCGUAAAGGGUUCGUAGGUGGCUUGCUAAGUCAGACGUGAAAUCCCUCAGCUUAACUGGGGAACUGCGUCUGAUACUGGCGAGCUUGAGUGCGGGAGAGGGAUGCGGAAUUCCAGGUGUAGCGGUGAAAUGCGUAGAUAUCUGGAGGAACACCGGUGGCGAAGGCGGCAUCCUGGACCAAUAUUGACGCUGAGGAGCGAAAGCCAGGGGAGCAAACGGG
This 253-nucleotide ribosomal RNA is filed under the name uncultured bacterium. RNAcentral's name for it is "partial 16S ribosomal RNA". It matches the Rfam family "Bacterial small subunit ribosomal RNA", at positions 524 to 776 of the family's 1533-position model. The record is from RNAcentral.